Molecule: transfer RNA, 59 nt
Filed under: Hygrobates taniguchii
Lineage: Eukaryota; Metazoa; Arthropoda; Arachnida; Trombidiformes; Hygrobatidae
Description: tRNA-Leu
Source: RNAcentral
ACUGAUGUGGCAGAUUAUUGCAUAGAGUUUAAGUCUCUACAAAGUUUUAACCUUCAGUA